UACGGGGGGGGCAAGCGUUGUUCGGAAUUACUGGGCGUAAAGGGCUCGUAGGCGGCCAACUAAGUCACACGUGAAAUCCCUCGGCUCAACCGGGGAACUGCGUGUGAGACUGGAUGGCUUGAGUUUGGGAGAGGAAUGCGGAAUUCCAGGUGUAGCGGUGAAAUGCGUAGAUAUCUGGAGGAACACCGGUGGCGAAGGCGGCAUCCUGGACCGAGAUUGACGCUGAGGCGCGAAAGCCAGGGGAGCAAACGGG
RNAcentral lists this ribosomal RNA (253 nucleotides) under uncultured bacterium. RNAcentral's name for it is "partial 16S ribosomal RNA". It matches the Rfam family "Bacterial small subunit ribosomal RNA", at positions 524 to 776 of the family's 1533-position model. The record is from RNAcentral.